Pecten maximus is the source of this 300-nucleotide long non-coding RNA. RefSeq lists it as uncharacterized. Lineage: Eukaryota; Metazoa; Mollusca; Bivalvia; Pectinida; Pectinidae. The record is from RefSeq and is a predicted model, not a curated record. The transcript is spliced from 2 exons.
UUCAUCUCCAGGUUGUGGAUUGUAUGACAACACUCCUGUCUCAGCCUGAUGAUGUCAUCAGCAGCAGGACCAGGAGGUCACUACAAGGUUCUCUGCAGAUUUUGAGACAUUCCACAGCCUUCAGGAAACCCAUGGUCUGGACCGAGAUAUACGAUGCUGUGUUAGUGAAAUGAUCCAGUUCUUUUGUACUGACAAACUCUGUGCAGAAUACUUGUGUAGCCAAGUGAUUUAUUCUGUAUCAUUUAUGAAAUCUUUUUAUCUUAAACUCCAAAUGGGAUAAAUAAAGAUAGACAAAUAUUU